GACGAACGCUGGCGGCGUGCUUAACACAUGCAAGUCGAACGGAAAGGCCCUGCUUUUGUGGGGUGCUCGAGUGGCGAACGGGUGAGUAACACGUGAGUAACCUGCCCUUGACUUUGGGAUAACUUCAGGAAACUGGGGCUAAUACCGGAUAGGAGCUCCUGCUGCAUGGUGGGGGUUGGUAAGUUUCGGCGGUUGGGGAUGGACUCGCGGCUUAUCAGCUUGUUGGUGGGGUAGUGGCUUACCAAGGCUUUGACGGGUAGCCGGCCUGGGAGGGUGACCGGCGACAAUGGGACUGCGAUACGGCCCAGACUCCUACGGGCGGCAGCAGGGGGGAAUAUUGCAGAGUGGGGGGAAGCGUGAUGCAGCGACGCCGCGUGCGGGAUGACGGCCUUCGGGGUGUAAACCGAUUUGGAAUGAGACGAAGAGGGAGUGACGGUAACGGGUAAAGAAGCACCGGCUAACUACGUG
This 468-nucleotide ribosomal RNA is filed under the name uncultured bacterium. RNAcentral describes it as "partial 16S ribosomal RNA". It matches the Rfam family "Bacterial small subunit ribosomal RNA", at positions 28 to 507 of the family's 1533-position model. The record is from RNAcentral.